Morone saxatilis (striped sea-bass) is the source of this 1469-nucleotide long non-coding RNA. RefSeq lists it as uncharacterized. The transcript is spliced from 2 exons. The record is from RefSeq and is a predicted model, not a curated record. Lineage: Eukaryota; Metazoa; Chordata; Actinopteri; Moronidae.
GUCGCCUUGUCGAGUCAUCGCCAGAGAAGAGCAGAGAGCAGACGGAGCCGCCGUCCGAUGGCUUGAAAGCGGAGAAUAACUGUGGACCACAGCGGAUUUAUUGCACCACACAAGCCGAGGAGGGAGCACAAACUGCGGUCACGGCAGCGGGCUGGAUGUCGCUGCGGAUGUGGAUAUUGCAUUUUUAGACUGUGGAGGCUGUUGCGUUUAUUUUUUUGGUUUCACGGUUGCAGACCCGGACACAGACAACACAGAGACAGACGAGAGAAGUACCAGAGCCGCCGCGACACCAGCGAGCGAACUUGGCUUCUCUGCCCUGUGGGAGGUGUCAGUCUGUCGGCUGUGGCUCGCUGCACAUACCGCUUACCGCGUCGUUGCUCGGACCUUAUUAUUAUUAUUUUUUAAAGGAUAAGGUUGUUGCUAAGUUAUGUUUUUGUAAAUAACGUCUUAUAUUUCUUUUUUUUUUUUUGAGGAGGGGGUGUUUCGGCAACCAACUGUGGCUUUAAUGUGACGCACUGACGUUGUACUAACAUUUUGCGCUGUGUCGGAGCGGACCCCCACUGCAGAGGAGUUAAAAGGCUGUUAAAUCAAGUUUUUACCUUCAGAUUCCUACUGUACCCCUACAGCCCACACCGAUGCAAUAGUGACAAGGGACGGAGCAGAUCAAGGUUGGCCAGGCUAGGCCAGGCUAGGCCUACCUAGCCUUCUGUCUGGCCUUACCAGAAGGGCCAGCAACCUCUCCAGGGAAUCCUAUCUUCAACAAGCAGUGGCAGCCUGUUCUUUCACAAACCUGCAAGUCAAGCUGUAAAGGAUUGGAUUCCAAUUACAUUAUCCGCCUUUGGGAGGCCAUACUGGUCUGUUAGAUCACCAGUCCUUCCAUGUCGUGGUCAUCCCUCUCUGGAUGUUGGCAUCAGGAUGGAUUCUGGUGUUAAUUUGACGGUUGUCACCUCAUUGCACUGCUUGCACCCCCCCUCCUUUGACUGCCUUUCGUCCCUUCCCUCCCAAAUUUUUAGGCGAAAGCCCCUUCCUCUCUCUUGGGGCUUCCCUGAGCCCUGUACAGAAGGGCCUUGUAGGAACUGUAGGUUGUGUUGUUGAAACAGUUGCAAAGAGGAAGUAGAGUUAAUAAACCCUUGCUAAAAAAGACACAAUGAAAAUUGCUGCACUCAAUUGAUUUGAUUGAUUUAUUUUCUGUAACCCCUCCUCUUGUUUAUCCACGAGUUUGAUUGGAGAUUGGAGAGCUUUUUAUUUAAAAAAAGAAGCUUGCUAGUCGAAGUCAUUACUUUAAACAUAGGUUGGUCUGAUUACUCACAUGAAAUAGGUCCUUAUUUAUAUGUAAAGAAUUUCUCUUUUGUGGUCUGAGCCUCAGGGAGGAAUGUCUGAAAGCGAUAGCAGCAGCAAAGCAGUGAAAUUCAUUGCCCCGGCCCCCCCCCCUCCCUCUGCCUCCCUCUGUCCAUCACCCCAGACCCCCC